CGGGGACCCCCUGACCGUCGUUGCCUCGUCUCUCCCCAGCCCCGACGCGGAAACCUCGCGCAAGAGUAGCCCGAGAGAUGGGAAAAGCAGCUUGCCAAGAGGAGCGCGGCGGGGCUUUCUAUCUUACCACUCUUUCUGAUUCCCGCACCACGUCGGGAGACCCCACUAUUUCCUCACCCUCCACCCGUGGCCUAUAGGAAUCAAUCCAGAAAGGGAUGACAUAGGAUUUUAGGGCGUUUCACUAAGAUUAUUGACUGAGAUGAAGCAUGUAUUAUGAUGAACUAAGGAAAGUAAGUACAAUUACUCCAUCCCAUCAUACUCUCUUACCUUGUGAGGUAUGGGCCUAACUUCAAGAAAUCCAAGUUCUAAGCAAACUGGCUUUACAAAAUGAAAGACACGGUCUAGAUCUAGUCAACAUUUAGAACAGCCACAGCGCAACCCUAGACAUGUCUACUCAGAAGUAAGGCUUGCUGAAUUCAGUUGCACUUCCUCCUAGGUAAGUAUGUAUGGGAUUGCAGUCUCAAGUGCAUUAUUAGAUCUCUCAUGUUGAAAUAAAUGAACCUUCAAAGUGCUUAGCUUUGCUGAAAUCAUGCCCAAUAUGAUUACACGAUUUGUCCCUGAAAUUGCAAGUUUGUCUGAUUAUAAUUUCCCACCAUAGAUUUCCCCCUUCACCCCAGUCUAGCCUUACUGUGAGGUACAAGUUACCGGUAAUUCAGAGACUCUGGAAUUGGGUGCUCAGACACGACUGGGUGAGGCUGGAGCAAAGUGUUGCUUUGGGGGGGGGAGCAGAUUUACAGAAAGCAGAUGAUGUAAGUAAAUCCUGCACAUUAUAAACUUAAAGUAACCACCAGGCCUGUGGGCUUCUUCCCCAGUGGAGUAUCCAGCCCAGCCUUUGAUGAAGUGAAGCUCCCUCACAGCCCAGCUCUGCUUCAGAUAUUGUUUCAAACAGACUGAUGAAGCCCUUUUUGCCUCAUUUAAGAUAAAUAGAGAAUGUUGGGGGGAAAGUGUCUUCCCCUAUUUCUUUUCUUCGUUGUAUGAAAGCCAGGCCGGGUGAAGGGGGAGGAGGGCAGGGCCAGGCUGAGAUGUGGUGUCAGAUCAUGCAGAAUCUCAGAGAACCCAGCCUUGCACUGGCCUCCUCAGGGAAGGAAAUUUAAAUUAACUGCAGCAGUUGGUGUGUAUUUGUGUGUGUUUGUCCUGGAGUUGGAGAAAACCUUUGCAUGGAACCUGGUUCCCAAGGCUCCAACGGAAUAAGAGGAACCCUCCGCGCUAGCAGACCUUCCUGGCAAAGCUUUGACACUGCUUUGCCUGACAACAGCCUUGCUCAGGAUGCAGCAAACUAGGAGAUAGGUAACACAAAGAAGCUCAUGGCUCAGCAUCACAGAGCAAAAGAUACCAUAGAAAAAGAGGUAUCUCUUUUUUGUGGCCAUCAGCUCUGCUGACACUGAUGCACAGUGGAAUGAAAGGGACUAUUGAGUGUAAUGAUCAGGUGGUAUUUAUUUUAUUUCUUUAACAAGAUUUAUAUACCACUUAAUCAAAUAAUAAUAAUCCGUAAGUGGCUUACAUAUAGUAUUCAUUAACACUGUAAUAAAAUCUGACUUUGAAACAGUAAACAUAAUGAUCAAAAUAGAGAUAAAUCCAUUGGGGGGAAAUGCAUCUAAUUGAAACUGAAAAAUAAAUGCACCUAAUCAAAUUACAUGUCUGGGAAGGUUUGCCGAAACAGAAAAGUUUUUAGCAGUAGUCAAAAACAGAACAGCAAAGAUGCCUACCUAAUAUCUAUAGAUCAGCUGAUGUCACAGUAAAAACAAAUCAAUUUUUCACAAGAGUGGAACAAAUAUUUUGCAGCCCUUGUAAAAGUGCCACUUCUGCAGAUUGAAGCAGUCAUGUGGGCACAUCCAGGGUAAGGUGAGGGUCAUAGCUGUACUGUAGUAGUAACGCUUAUUUGGCUUACUCUUGGCAGGGACUCAGCUAUUUCAAAUGUACUGUUUCAAAUUAUGCCAACGUUUUGUCAAAAGAGGGAUACUUCUAUGAAGACAGAAAGCAAGGAAGGUGAGGAUAUUGGGGAAAACAUGGCAGCCUGGGUCUUCAACAGCAACUAACAAAGAGCUUGCUGAAUAUGGAUGUAAAUGGUUCGCAGUGAAGAAGAGGUACAUAAUUUGGAGCAGAUUCUGCCUAUGUUGGCAGAAUGCACUGAAAAAGAGAAGUAUUCAUCUUCCAGGCAGAAAAGGAACCCCUACCAAGAAUUUAAGUUGAAAUGCGUGUGACUCAGGAAUCACUGAUGAUCAAGGCAUUUUUCCACUUCUUCCUGAGUUGUGCUUUCUUUCUUGUUUUGAACUGAUGAUGGAAGGUAAUAGAUGGGCUCUGAUACAGAUGCAACCCUUUCUUGCUGUCCUCCAGGGGAGAAAGUAUAGCUGUAUAGCUGCCCAGGAGUCCUAAGGCAAGCUCUCCUACCUAGCUUGCCUACCUACCAAGCUCCUACCUACCUACCUGCUGUGAUGCUCAAGCUGUAGCCCUUUGACCGCUAGUGGUCCAUGAGCUCCAUUCAGAUGGUCCCUUAACAGGUUGCAGAACAGAUGAGAACAACUGAACUCAGUAGCAGUCAAGUGAUAGGGCAGUGCCAUGGUGUGGAGUUGGGGCCAGAUGGUGGUGAGCUUAGGGCAGCCUAGGUGCACCAUUGGAGGCAAUCUGGCACUUCCAUCAGUAUGCCUUUGCUGCUCCCUGCACCAACUGGGUAAGUGGCAGUAGCACUGCUCUUGAGAGGGCACUGUUCUAACAUGUCAGCUGUUCUUGUUUGUACCUGGGUGUACAGUUGAUUUCUUUUUUCUCACAAUAAUGAUUAAGGUUAGUUUGACUGGUGCUAGAAUGUCAAACAGGUUAACCGGACCCUAAUCUGUACAUUGCAGAUGAAUAAAGGUCUCACAAGGGCCAGGAGGAUGCCAAAGUGGUUAAUUAGCAAAGUUAAGAAGCUCUCAGAGGCAAAAAUACUUUCUUUUUUUAAAAAAAAAAUUAUAAUCAAAAUCUUGUCCUUACAAAGAGAACAAAAAGGACCACAAACUUUGGCCAAAAAAAAAUGGAGUCAAAACAAGGGAGUCAAAAAUGCGCUAAAGGAGGAUAAGGAGAUUGGGGAGGGGGGAAGCUGAAUUAAUUAUUUCAUAGAAUCAUAGAAUUGAAAGGGUGCACCUAUCUUCACAAUGGAAGAUGUAGAGCAGAGCACUAACAUUUGGAGGAAGGGAGUCUGAGAAACUGAAGCAGAUAGUGGUGAAGAGAGACAAAAUUCUAGACAAAAUAAAAAUGAAUUAAUGUAAAAAGGUAAAGGUACCCUUUGACCAUUAGGUCCAGUCGCAGACAACUUU
Podarcis muralis (Common wall lizard) is the source of this 3350-nucleotide non-coding RNA. Lineage: Eukaryota; Metazoa; Chordata; Lepidosauria; Squamata; Lacertidae. The record is from RefSeq and is a predicted model, not a curated record.